GCCCUCACCUGCCGCAGGCCCAGGGCCCCGGGGACCAGGAGCGGGGCGUCGGGGGGUCCUGGACCCUCGGCCCAAGGAACCACUGUCUGGUGUGGAGACAGACACUUAGGAGGAAAUUUGAUUACCAGUGGGAUAAGCGACCAACCCAGAGAAGAACAGAGACUGCAGGGGUCCAGGAGGAGGGGCCGCAGAGGCCCCAGGGAUAGGGGUAAGGGUGGGGACUGAGAUGGAGAAUUGCUUCCUGAGAAGGUAAUGAAUGUAUGAAGGUGAUCUGGAAGGACAAUCUAUGAAUUGGACAAGUGAAGAAGGAAGAGGAGACAUUAUAAGAAGUGGGACCAACAUAGACCGAGCCUGGCAGUGACACAGCAAGAAGGUGGCUGUGUACAAGCUAGGAAGAGGGCCCUCAGCAGAACCAUCCUGGCUGACCAUGCAGGCACUCCGAUCUUGGACUCCCAGCCUCCAGAACU
Long non-coding RNA from Pan troglodytes (chimpanzee), 467 nucleotides. RefSeq lists it as uncharacterized. The transcript has 3 exons. Lineage: Eukaryota; Metazoa; Chordata; Mammalia; Primates; Hominidae. The record is from RefSeq and is a predicted model, not a curated record.